AUUGAACAGUAUGAGAGAGUCAAGAUGAUUGUUGGAUUUAAAAUGCUUGAAAAAUACAACCAAAUGAAGACAAAAAAUGCAUCAACAAACAAAUCAACUAAUGGAAUGUUGGGGCAUCAGUACCUAGUUCUGACUCUAAAAGCAAUUGUUCAAAAUAAAUGGAGAAUGUGACACAGAUGAUGACCCUGCUUGCAUAUAUUAACAUUAUAAAGGGACAAACAGUUAAUUGAUGCAGUUUAAAUUCAAAGCGGAACAGUGUUUUGUGAUGGAAAUAUGAAUCCUUUUGGCUUGGAAGAUUGUCAGGAACAUGAAGAAACUGAAUCCAUUAUAAACAUAUGUACACAAACAGACAAAAUAACAACAACACUGGUUGAUACAAUUCUAGGAACUGGUGAAGAAGUUAAGUCUUACAAAAUACAGAAGACUUGCAACGGAAA
This is a long non-coding RNA of Mytilus californianus (California mussel), 437 nucleotides long. RefSeq lists it as uncharacterized. The transcript is spliced from 3 exons. NCBI's taxonomy places the organism in Eukaryota, Metazoa, Mollusca, Bivalvia, Mytilida, Mytilidae. The record is from RefSeq and is a predicted model, not a curated record.